RNAcentral lists this long non-coding RNA (235 nucleotides) under Rosa chinensis. Its description in RNAcentral is "sRNA RchiOBHm_Chr4g0414581". Lineage: Eukaryota; Viridiplantae; Streptophyta; Magnoliopsida; Rosales; Rosaceae. The record is from RNAcentral.
CUAUAAUUCGAGAUCCGUGGAAACAGAGCAUAUUCCGGAAUCCAAUUAUAGUCGCACCUCUAAGAGAGGGCGCCAAGAGCGAAACCCUAAUCUUAGGUAUACUUCUGGACAUUCUGAUCCAUAUAAUCGCUCUACUUGGGAAGGUAACCGCCAAAAUAGGCCAACACGGAACCGAAGAGGUAAACGUGGAAAGAGAGAGGGAGGCAACGCCUCUGGCCAUGUUGGUGGCGCCACC